Long non-coding RNA from Amphimedon queenslandica, 535 nucleotides. RefSeq lists it as uncharacterized. The record is from RefSeq and is a predicted model, not a curated record. Lineage: Eukaryota; Metazoa; Porifera; Demospongiae; Haplosclerida; Niphatidae. The transcript is spliced from 3 exons.
CCACUGAUACUUAUGUAAGUCCUGCUGUACAAAGUAAAGAUACCACACUAACAACUGAAGUACCAGCAAGAACAACAGAAAAGGAUGAGGAUACAGUUACGUUGCUACAAGAGAAAGUUGAAAGUAUUCAAAAGCAACUGGAGGAAGAAAAGGAACUCCAUGAAAAAGAGAAAGAAUUUCAUGAACAAGUUAUAAAGAAAUAUGAAGAGAGAAUAGCAACACUUACUGAACAACAGGAGGAAGUUACUGGAGACUCGAAACACAAGACAGAACAAUAUGAAGAAUUUAUAUCAGACAAUGAACUUACUCAUAAACAACUGGAGGAACUUCAAAAGAAGUUAAAGGAAGAGAAACAAACAUCCUCCAGUUUCAUAAAACAGAAACAAGUUGCUCUAAGAGAGAAAGACGAACUGCAAAUAAAGAUUGAAGAACUUCAACAAAAAUUAGAAGUACAGCAAGUCAAAGAUCACAAGAAAGUAUCAGGUCAGUGUGAAUACAAUUCAGUCAGGUAUAUGUGUUUGUGUGUGUAUGUAUA